UACAGAGGGGGCGAGCGUUGUUCGGAAUUACUGGGCGUAAAGGGCGCGUAGGCGGCCUUCUAAGUCGAACGUGAAAUCCCCGGGCUCAACCCGGGAACUGCGUCCGAUACUGGGAGGCUUGAAUCCGGGAGAGGGAUGUGGAAUUCCAGGUGUAGCGGUGAAAUGCGUAGAUAUCUGGAGGAACGCCGGUGGCGAAGGCGGCAUCCUGGACCGGUAUUGACGCUGAGGCGCGAAAGCGUGGGGAGCGAACAGG
Molecule: ribosomal RNA, 253 nt
Filed under: uncultured bacterium
Lineage: Bacteria
Description: partial 16S ribosomal RNA
Rfam family: Bacterial small subunit ribosomal RNA
Source: RNAcentral